GACGAACGCUGGCGGCGUGCUUAACACAUGCAAGUCGAGCGGAAAGGCCCUUCGGGGUACUCGAGCGGCGAACGGGUGAGUAACACGUGAGUAACCUGCCCCAGACUUUGGGAUAACCCUCGGAAACGGGGGCUAAUACCGGAUACGACACAGCUUCGCAUGGGGUCUGUGUGGAAAGUUUUUCGGUUUGGGAUGGGCUCGCGGCCUAUCAGCUUGUUGGUGGGGUGAUGGCCUACCAAGGCGACGACGGGUAGCCGGCCUGAGAGGGCGACCGGCCACACUGGGACUGAGACACGGCCCAGACUCCUACGGGAGGCAGCAGUGGGGAAUAUUGCACAAUGGGCGGAAGCCUGAGGCAGCGACGCCGCGUGAGGGAUGACGGCCUUCGGGUUGUAAACCUCUUUCAGCAGGGACGAAGCGUAAGUGACGGUACCUGCAGAAGAAGCGCCGGCCAACUACGU
Molecule: ribosomal RNA, 461 nt
Filed under: uncultured bacterium
Lineage: Bacteria
Description: partial 16S ribosomal RNA
Rfam family: Bacterial small subunit ribosomal RNA
Source: RNAcentral